RNAcentral lists this unclassified non-coding RNA (239 nucleotides) under Hevea brasiliensis (rubber tree). The record is from RNAcentral. Lineage: Eukaryota; Viridiplantae; Streptophyta; Magnoliopsida; Malpighiales; Euphorbiaceae.
UCGCAGAUCUCUAUCUCUGCCUGGUAAGCUUUAUCUAUAUAUUUUGUGCUUUUUUGUUUUCAAGCAUAUCCUUAUCUGCGUAUUUUGUUCCUGAGUGUGUUUCUCUAGUAUUGAUUGAUCCUUGCACUUGGCUAUGGUUUGUGGGCUCUUCUUGUUUUUAUCAGCUUCUUAUCUAAAUUGGUUUUGAUGUGGCCUUAUAUUCUCAAAUUUCUGUUUUUUGGGCUCAAUUUUGAACUGGG